CCUACGGGAGGCAGCAGUGGGGAAUUUUGGACAAUGGGCGAAAGCCUGAUCCAGCAAUGCCGCGUGAGUGAAGAAGGCCUUCGGGUUGUAAAGCUCUUUUGUCAGGGAAGAAACGGUGAGGGCUAAUAUCCCUUGCUAAUGACGGUACCUGAAGAAUAAGCACCGGCUAACUACGUGCCAGCAGCCGCGGUAAUACGUAGGGUGCAAGCGUUAAUCGGAAUUACUGGGCGUAAAGCGUGCGCAGGCGGUUUUGUAAGUCUGUCGUGAAAUCCCCGGGCUCAACCUGGGAAUUGCGAUGGAGACUGCAAGGCUAGAAUCUGGCAGAGGGGGGUAGAAUUCCACGUGUAGCAGUGAAAUGCGUAGAGAUGUGGAGGAACACCGAUGGCGAAGGCAGCCCCCUGGGUCAAGAUUGACGCUCAUGCACGAAAGCGUGGGGAGCAAACAGGAUUAGAUACCCUGGUAGUCCACGCCCUAAACGAUGUCUACUAGUUGUCGGGUUUUAAUAACUUGGUAACGCAGCUAACGCGUGAAGUAGACCGCCUGGGGAUACGGUCGCAAGNUUAAAACUCAAAUGAAAUUGACCGG
Molecule: ribosomal RNA, 585 nt
Filed under: uncultured bacterium
Lineage: Bacteria
Description: bacterial SSU rRNA
Rfam family: Bacterial small subunit ribosomal RNA
Source: RNAcentral